AGAGUUUGAUCCUGGCUCAGAUUGAACGCUGGCGGCAUGCCUAACACAUGCAAGUCGAACGAGGUAGCAAUACCUAGUGGCGGACGGGUGAGGAAUACGUAGGGAUCUGCCCUUAAGUGGGGGAUAACCCGGGGAAACCCGGAUUAAUACCGCAUGAUCUCGAGAGAGCAAAGCAGGGGACCGCAAGGCCUUGCGCUUUUGGAGGAACCUACGUCGGAUUAGCUAGUUGGUGAGGUAACGGCUCACCAAGGCGACGAUUCGUAACUGGUCUGAGAGGAUGAUCAGUCACACCGGAACUGAGACACGGUCCGGACUCCUACGGGAGGCAGCAGUGGGGGAUAUUGGACAAUGGGCGAAAGCCUGAUCCAGCAAUGCCGCGUGUGUGAAGAAGGCYUUCGGGUUGUAAAGCACUUUAAGUUGGGAAGAAAAAGCUCUGGCUAAUAUCUAGAGCCUUGACGGUACCAACAGAAUAAGCACCGGCUAACUCUGUGCCAGCAGCCGCGGUAAUACAGAGGGUGCUAGCGUUAAUCGGAUUUACUGGGCGUAAAGCGUGCGUAGGCGGUUUGAUAAGUCGAUUGUGAAAGCCCCGGGCUUAACCUGGGAAUUGCAGUUGAUACUGUCAGACUCGAAAACGGUAGAGGGAGGCGGAACUCCAGGUGUAGCGGUGAAAUGCGUAGAUAUCUGGAAGAACACCGAUGGCGAARGCAACCUCCUGGGCCUGUUUUGACGCUGAGGCACGAAAGCGUGGGUAGCAAACGGGAUUAGAUACCCUGGUAGUCCACGCCGUAAACGAUGAGAACUUGACGUUGGUUUGCUUAGCAAAUCGGUGUCGUAGCUAACGCGAUAAGUUCUCCGCCUGGGGAGUACGGCCGCAAGGUUGAAACUCAAAGGAAUUGACGGGGGCCCGCACAAGCGGUGGAGUAUGUGGUUUAAUUCGAUGCAACGCGAAGAACCUUACCUGGUCUUGACAUGUCAAGGAGUCUGCAGAGAUGCGGAUGUGCCUUCGGGAACUUGAACACAGGUGCUGCAUGGCUGUCGUCAGCUCGUGUCGUGAGAUGUUGGGUUAAGUCCCGCAACGAGCGCAACCCUUGCCCUUAGUUGCCAUCAUUCAGUUGGGCACUCUAAGGGGACCG
Molecule: ribosomal RNA, 1133 nt
Filed under: uncultured bacterium
Lineage: Bacteria
Description: bacterial SSU rRNA
Rfam family: Bacterial small subunit ribosomal RNA
Source: RNAcentral